Suricata suricatta (meerkat) is the source of this 2112-nucleotide non-coding RNA. The record is from the annotation of a RefSeq genome assembly. Lineage: Eukaryota; Metazoa; Chordata; Mammalia; Carnivora; Herpestidae.
GCCCCAGCCCAGGAGACCCAGAUGUUCCAUUCUGUGAUCAGGACAGAACACAGACCUCUCACUAUGGAGUUUGUGCUUGGCUGGGUUUUCCUUGUUGCUGUUCUAAAAGGUGUCCAGUGUGAGGUGCAGCUGGUGGAGUCUGGGGGAGGCCUGGCGAAGCCUGGGGGCUCCCUGCGACUCUCCUGUGCAGCCUCCGGAUUUACCUUCAGUAGCUAUGGCAUGAGCUGGGUCCGCCAGGCUCCAGAGAAGGGGCUGGAGUGGGUCUCAGGUAUUUAUUAUGAUGGAAGUUACCCAAGCUAUGCGGAGUCCGUGAAGGGCCGAUUCACCAUCUCCAGAGACAACGCCAAGAACACGCUCUAUCUGCAGAUGAACAGCCUGAGAGUCGAGGACACGGCCAUUUAUUUCUGUGCAAAAGGCCCCCUUUGGGGGAUAUAUGGUAUGGAUGUCUGGGGCCGUGGAACCACGCUCACUGUCUCCUCAGCAACCCCGUCCCGUCCAGACCUCUUCCCCCUCAUCACCUGUGAGAGCUCUCUGUCCAAUGAGCCCCUGGUGGCCAUGGGCUGCCUGGCCCGGGACUUCCUGCCCAACUCUGUCACCUUCUCCUGGAACUUCAAGAACAGCAGUGUGGUCAACAGCCAGGACAUCAAGACCUUCCCCACAGUCCUGAGAGAGGGCAAGUACCUGGCUACUUCUCAGGUGCUCCUGCCCUCCGUGGACGUCCUCGAGGGCUCCGAUGACUUCCUCACGUGCAAUGUCAAGCACCCUAAUGGCAACGGUGAGGUGGCCGUGCGCUUCCCAGUGUCUAUGGAUAUACCCCCCAACGUGACGGUCUUCAUCCCGCCCCGUGAUGCCUUCUCUGACAACAACCAGCGCACGUCCCAGCUCCUCUGCCAGGCGACAGGCUUCAGCCCCAGGAAUAUCACUGUGUCCUGGCUUCGUGACGGAAAGCCCAUCAAGUCUGGCUUCAACACAGGCAAGGCGGAGGCCGAGAACGACAGCCUGAGGCCCGUGACCUACAGGAUCCUCAGCACACUGACCAUCACCGAGAAUGACUGGCUCAGCCAAAGCAUAUUCACCUGCAAGGUGGUGCACAAAGGGCUGACCUUCAAGAAGAACGUGUCCUCCACAUGCAUCCUCAACCCACAAGCCAGCAUCCGCAUCUUCACCAUUCCCCCCAACUUCGCCAGCAUCUUCCAAACCAAGUCAGCCAAGCUGACCUGCAGGGUUGUAGACCUGACCACCCGCGAAAGCCUGAACAUCUCCUGGACCCGCCAGAAUGGCGAGUUUCUGCCAACAGCCACCUCCUUCCAGAGCAAUGUCAACAACACUUUCAGUGCCACGGGGGAGGCCACCGUCUGUGCGGAGGACUGGGAGUCAGGGGAGGACUUCACGUGCACGGUGACUCACACAGAUCUGCCCUCGCCACUGAGGAAGACCAUCUCCAAGCCCAAGGGUGUCAGUAGGCAGCCGCCGUCCGUCUACGUCCUGCCACCCAGCCGGGAGCAGCUGAGCCUGCGGGAGUCAGCCACUGUCACCUGCCUGGUGAAGGGCUUCUCCCCUCCAGACGUGUUCGUGCAGUGGCUGCAGAAGGGGCAGCCCAUGCCCUCUGACAGCUACGUGACCAGCGACCCGAAGCCCGAGCCCCAGAACCCUGACCUGUACUUCGUGCACAGCACUCUGACCGUGAGUGAGGAAGAGUGGAGCUCGGGCGAGGCCUACACCUGCAUCGUGGGCCAUGAGGCCCUACCCCACAUGGUGACGGAGAGGAGCGUGGACAAGGCCACUGAAGGGGAGGUGAGUGCCGAGGAGGAGGGCUUCGAGAACCUGAACACCAUGGCCUCCACCUUCAUUGUCCUCUUCCUCCUCAGUGUCUUCUACAGCACCACCGUCACCCUCUUCAAGGUGAAAUGACGCCCUGGCUAAGAACUUCGGAGACCCAGAAGAUGGGACCUGGGAGGCACUUUGGGGCCCGUCGAUUUGUACUUAAAUCCUUCCCACGUCACCCCUCCUACUUGCAGCCCAAAGACAGGCUUCUCGAGACCAGGCCGAGUGCCGUGGACACAGCCCCGCUCUGUCAUCUUGAAAUAAACGUGUAUAUUUUAUCUUGUGAAA